AUACGGAAGGUCCGGGCGUUAUCCGGAUUUAUUGGGUUUAAAGGGAGCGCAGGCGGAGAUGCAAGCGUGACGUCAAAUUUCGGGGCUCAACCCCGUCUCGCGUCGCGAACUGCGUCCCUUGGUUGCGGGAAGGGGAGGCGGAACUCGUGGUGUAGCGGUGAAAUGCAUAGAUAUCACGAAGAACUCCGAUCGCGAAGGCAGCCUUCCGGCCCGUCAACGACGCUCAUGCUCGAAGGUGCGGGUAUCAAACAGGAUUAGAUACCCUGGUAGUCCGCACAGUAAACGAUGGACACCCGCGGUUUGGCCUGUAUGGCUGAGCCGCCAAGCGAAAGCGUUAAGUGUCCCACCUGGGGAGUACGACCGCAAGGUUGAAACUCAAAGGAAUUGACGGGG
This 393-nucleotide ribosomal RNA is filed under the name uncultured bacterium. Its description in RNAcentral is "partial 16S ribosomal RNA". It matches the Rfam family "Bacterial small subunit ribosomal RNA", at positions 523 to 918 of the family's 1533-position model. The record is from RNAcentral.